UGUCUAGGGGGAACUUAAAAC
RNAcentral lists this non-coding RNA (21 nucleotides) under Caenorhabditis elegans. The record is from RNAcentral. Lineage: Eukaryota; Metazoa; Nematoda; Chromadorea; Rhabditida; Rhabditidae.